ACGCACGCUGGCGGCGUGCUUAACACAUGCAAGUCGAACGGAAAGGCCCUGCUUUUGUGGGGUGCUCGAGUGGCGAACGAGUGAGUAACACGUGAGUAACCUGCCCUUGACUUUGGGAUAACUUCAGGAAACUGGGGCUAAUACCGGAUAGGAGCUCCUGCUGCAUGGUGGGGGUUGGAAAGUUUCGGCGGUUGGGGAUGGACUCGCGGCUUAUCAGCUUGUUGGUGGGGUAGUGGCUUACCAAGGCUUUGACGGGUAGCCGGCCUGAGAGGGUGACCGGCCACAUUGGGACUGAGAUACGGCCCAGACUCCUACGGGAGGCAGCAGUGGGGAAUAUUGCACAAUGGGCGGAAGCCUGAUGCAGCAACGCCGCGUGCGGGAUGACGGCCUUCGGGUUGUAAACCGCUUUCGCCUGUGACGAAGCGUGAGUGACGGUAAUGGGUAAAGAAGCACCGGCUAACUACGUG
Molecule: ribosomal RNA, 467 nt
Filed under: uncultured bacterium
Lineage: Bacteria
Description: partial 16S ribosomal RNA
Rfam family: Bacterial small subunit ribosomal RNA
Source: RNAcentral